Molecule: ribosomal RNA, 326 nt
Filed under: uncultured eukaryote
Lineage: Eukaryota
Description: partial 18S ribosomal RNA
Rfam family: Eukaryotic small subunit ribosomal RNA
Source: RNAcentral
CCCUUAGAUGUUCUGGGCUGCACGCGCGCUACACUGAUGCAUCCAACAAGUUUUCUCCCUUGUUCGGUAGGACUGGGUAAUCUUUUGAGUAUGCAUCGUGAUGGGGAUAGAUUAUUGCAAUUAUUAAUCUUCAACGAGGAAUUCCUAGUAAGCGCGAGUCAUCAGCUCGCGCUGAUUACGUCCCUGCCCUUUGUACACACCGCCCGUCGCUCCUACCGAUUGAGUGCUCAGGUGAAUAAUUCGGACUGCAGCAAUGUUUGGAUCCCGAACGUUGCAGCGGAAAGUUUAGUGAACCUUAUCACUUAGAGGAAGGAGAAGUCGUAACA